AUAUUACUCCCUCCGUCCGGAAAUACUUGUCGUAGGAAUGGAUGUAUCUAGUUGUAUUUUUGUUCUAGAUACAUCCAUUUAUAUCAUUUUUGUGACAAGUAAUUCCGAACGGAGGGAAUAUUAG
Molecule: non-coding RNA, 124 nt
Organism: Hordeum vulgare subsp. vulgare (domesticated barley)
Lineage: Eukaryota; Viridiplantae; Streptophyta; Magnoliopsida; Poales; Poaceae
Source: Rfam